This 406-nucleotide long non-coding RNA is filed under the name Helianthus annuus (common sunflower). Lineage: Eukaryota; Viridiplantae; Streptophyta; Magnoliopsida; Asterales; Asteraceae. The record is from RNAcentral.
AUGUAAGUCGAGGUCUAAUUCCUUAGACGAAUCAAGAUCGCAACCACCACCACCGCCACCGAGUAAAUCACGAGUGAUCAGAGCCGUUGAUUUAGAUUCAUUCAUAAUCGAUUGAACCUCGUUCAAAACUGAGUAGAGGUAGGUGACGUCAGUGACCAUCACUGUAACAAUUGUUUCAUGAAUUAGACCGGAAAUGAGCGAGAUCUCCGGCGGAAUAGGGCCGUCGAAGUUGUUGAGAUCCAAAAAAGAAUAAAUUUACAGAUUCAUCCAAUUAUACACAAAAUUCAACCUGUUCAUGCAUUGAAGAUGUUAGCCAAGAUGUUCAAGAAGCUUCCAGGACUUCCAUAGCUGUUAGUUCAUGCAAGCGUUUCCUAUAUUUUGACCAGCAUCCAGUUGGUAAAGAGUC